GGAAGAGCGGAGAGCCAGCGACCGCCGAUCUGUUAGCUCGUGCGACCCAGCGGCGGGGGUCCUCCACUGUUCAUUUCUCUACAACUGAAGGAAAAUACUGUGUGUUGAGCACCUGUGUAGUGCGCGAAUUAAAGGCCUCAUCCUUCUGGAACUUAAAUUUUAAUGAAGCCAUGUGGGCAAUAAAUGUGUGUGUGAGAGAGAGAGAGAGAGAAUGUGACCUGAGUCCAUGGCUAUGACUCCUCCCUCAUCUUUCUGAAGCUCAACCUUGAAUGCUUACAGGACCACUGAAAAAAGAAUCUCUAGGCUCCCCCAAGAGCUCAUUUCCAUCAACAGCUCUGGAAGUGGGUCAUGUUACAUACAAAAAUAAAGACAGCAAGAAGAGCUCAGACGGUGGAACCAGACUGCUUGGGACUGAAAUCGGCAUUUGCCACUUACCAGCCAGGGUCUGCGGGUCGGACCCGGAAGGUAGAGCCCUGUGUGAGGAAUGCUGCAACAGAUCACAACAGAACCCUUGAAAAUGAAGGUGAAAAAACUGCGAACUUUGAGACGGCCUUCAUUAAGACCACUCUGGAGCCCACCCUGUGUGCACUUUUUCUCCGACUUCAGCAACUGCUAGAUCAAUGUAUACAUCUUAUUUUUAUUACACACAUUCGGGCCCACAGCUCACUGCCUGGCCCACUGGCUUAUGGCAAUGAUCAAGCAGACCUACAGGUUAUGACAUCACUGCCUGACCAAGCCACCCAAUUGCAACAAUUUUUCCACCAAAACUUGAGAAACUUAUCUAAACAAUUUCAACUUACCCAGAGACUAGCUAAACAAAUUACCCUACAAUGCCCAGAUUGCCAGUUCACAGGCACAUCCCCUCCUUCAACAGGUGUUAACCCUAGAGGACUAGAACCUAAUCAGUUUUGGCAAACAGAUGUUACACGCAUCCCUGAAUUUGGAAAACGUAGAUAUGUACAUGUAUCCAUUGAUACCAAUUCUCAUUUAAUUAGUACUCAUGCUCUUCCUGGAGAGUCCACCCGAUAUGUCAUUAAACAUCUUCUUUUAACUUUUGCAUUUAUGGGACGGCCCACAGAAAUUAAAACUGAUAAUGGUCUGGCUUAUGCCAGCUCACAAUUUCAACAAUUUUGUCACACAUGGAACAUCCAACAUUCCACAGGCAUCCCGUAUAACUCCCAAGGACAGGCCAUAGAACGUACCCAAUCCAGCCUUAAAAAUAUGCUCAGAAAACAAAAAAGGGGGAAUAUGAAUAAGGACCCUGCAACACUACUAGCACAAGCCUUAUUUACCCUUAAUUUUUAAAAUUUAAAUAAAUUUCAAUCAGCUGUAGAAAAGCACUUUGCUAAAACCUCUCAAGAAAUAAAACCUGCAGUUUUAUGGAAA
Long non-coding RNA from Homo sapiens (human), 1386 nucleotides. NCBI's taxonomy places the organism in Eukaryota, Metazoa, Chordata, Mammalia, Primates, Hominidae. The record is from Ensembl.